RNAcentral lists this ribosomal RNA (253 nucleotides) under uncultured bacterium. RNAcentral describes it as "partial 16S ribosomal RNA". It matches the Rfam family "Bacterial small subunit ribosomal RNA", at positions 524 to 776 of the family's 1533-position model. The record is from RNAcentral.
UACGUAGGGGGCAAGCGUUGUCCGGAUUUACUGGGCGUAAAGAGCGCGCAGGCGGUCUGCCAAGUCGAGUGUGAAAGCCCCCGGCUCAACUGGGGAGGGUCAUUCGAUACUGGUCGACUCGAAGGCAGGAGAGGGAAGCGGAAUUCCCGGUGUAGUGGUGAAAUGCGUAGAUAUCGGGAGGAACACCAGUGGCGAAGGCGGCUUCCUGGCCUGUUCUUGACGCUGAGGCGCGAAAGCUAGGGGAGCAAACGGG